This 463-nucleotide ribosomal RNA is filed under the name uncultured bacterium. RNAcentral describes it as "partial 16S ribosomal RNA". It matches the Rfam family "Bacterial small subunit ribosomal RNA", at positions 27 to 506 of the family's 1533-position model. The record is from RNAcentral.
GGACGAACGCUGGCGGCGUGCUUAACACAUGCAAGUCGAACGGAAAGGCCUUUUCGGAGGUACUCGAGUGGCGAACGGGUGAGUAACACGUGGGUGAUCUGCCCUGCACUCUGGGAUAAGCCUGGGAAACUGGGUCUAAUACCGGAUAGGACCGCACUUUAGUGUGUGUGGUGGAAAGUUUUUUCGGUGUAGGAUGAGCCCGCGGCCUAUCAGCUUGUUGGUGGGGUAAUGGCCUACCAAGGCGGCGACGGGUAGCCGGACUGAGAGGUUGGUCGGCCACAUUGGGACUGAGAUACGGCCCAGACUCCUACGGGAGGCAGCAGUGGGGAAUAUUGCACAAUGGGCGCAAGCCUGAUGCAGCGACGCCGCGUGGGGGAUGACGGCCUUCGGGUUGUAAACUCCUUUCGCCAGGGACGAAGCGUUUUGUGACGGUACCUGGAGAAGAAGCACCGGCUAACUACGU